Molecule: ribosomal RNA, 253 nt
Filed under: uncultured bacterium
Lineage: Bacteria
Description: partial 16S ribosomal RNA
Rfam family: Bacterial small subunit ribosomal RNA
Source: RNAcentral
UACGUAGGGCGCGAGCGUUGUCCGGAAUUAUUGGGCGUAAAGAGCUCGUAGGCGGCCUGUCACGUCCGCUGUGAAAUCCCGGGGCUCAACCCCGGGCCUGCAGUGGAUACGGGCUGGCUGGAGGCAGGCAGGGGAGAACGGAAUUCCUGGUGUAGCGGUGAAAUGCGCAGAUAUCAGGAGGAACACCGGUGGCGAAGGCGGAUCUCUGGGCCUGUCCUGACGCUGAGGCGCGAAAGCUAGGGGAGCAAACAGG